This 914-nucleotide ribosomal RNA is filed under the name uncultured archaeon. RNAcentral describes it as "partial 16S ribosomal RNA". It matches the Rfam family "Archaeal small subunit ribosomal RNA", at positions 1 to 923 of the family's 1478-position model. The record is from RNAcentral.
UUCCGGUUGAUCCUGCCGGAGGCCACUGCUAUCGGAGUUCGAUUAAGCCAUGCGAGUCGAGAGGGGAAAGCCCUCGGCGUACUGCUCAGUAACACGUGGAUAACCUGCCCUGCGGUGGGAAAUAACCCCGGGAAACUGGGGAUAAUGUCCCAUAGGCUACGGAUGCUGGAAUGCUCUGUAGCUCAAAGAUUUAUCGCCACAGGAUGGGUCUGCGGCCGAUUAGGUAGUUGUUGGGGUAACGGCCCAACAAGCCUUUGAUCGGUACGGGUUGUGGGAGCAAGAGCCCGGAGAUGGAUUCUGAGACACGAAUCCAGGCCCUACGGGGCGCAGCAGGCGCGAAAACUUUACAAUGCGGGAAACCGUGAUAAGGGAACUCCGAGUGUCCGUCAAUGCGGACUGUCCGUAUGUUUAAAAAGCAUGCGAAGAAAGGGCCGGGCAAGACCGGUGCCAGCCGCCGCGGUAAUACCGGCGGCUCGAGUGGUGGCCACUAUUACUGGGCUUAAAGCGUUCGUAGCUGGGUUGUUAAGUCUCUUGGGAAAUCUACCGGCUUAACCGAUAGGCGUCCAAGGGAUACUGGCAAUCUAGGGACCGGGAGAGGUGAGGGGUACUUCAGGGGUAGGAGUGAAAUCCUGUAAUCCUUGGGGGACCACCUGUGGCGUAGGCGCCUCACCAGAACGGCUCCGACAGUGAGGGACGAAAGCUGGGGGAGCAAACCGGAUUAGAUACCCGGGUAGUCCCAGCCGUAAACGAUGCGCGUUAGGUGUAUCGAUGACCACGAGUCAUCGAGGUGCCGAAGGGAAACCGUGAAACGCGCCGCCUGGGAAGUACGGUCGCAAGGCUGAAACUUAAAGGAAUUGGCGGGGGAGCACCACAACAGGUGGAGCCUGCGGGUUUAAUUGGAUUCAACGCCGGGA